GACGAACGCUGGCGGCGUGCUUAACACAUGCAAGUCGAACGGAAAGGCCCUGCUUUUGUGGGGUGCUCGAGUGGCGAACGGGUGAGUAACACGUGAGUAACCUGCCCUUGACUUUGGGAUAACUUCAGGAAACUGGGGCUAAUACCGGAUAGGAGCUCCUGCUGCAUGGUGGGGGUUGGAAAGUUUCGGCGGUUGGGGAUGGACUCGCGGCUUAUCAGCUUGUUGGUGGGGUAGUGGCUUACCAAGGCUUUGACGGGUAGCCGGCCUGAGAGGGUGACCGGCCACAUUGGGACUGAGAUAGGGCCCAGACUCCUACGGGAGGCAGCAGUGGGGAAUAUUGCACAAUGGGCGGAAGCCUGAGGCAGCAACGCCGCGUGCGGGAUGACGGCCUUCGGGUUGUAAACCGCUUUCGCCUGUGACGAAGCGUGAGUGACGGUAAUGGGUAAAGAAGCACCGGCUAACUACGUG
This 468-nucleotide ribosomal RNA is filed under the name uncultured bacterium. RNAcentral describes it as "partial 16S ribosomal RNA". It matches the Rfam family "Bacterial small subunit ribosomal RNA", at positions 28 to 507 of the family's 1533-position model. The record is from RNAcentral.